CGUCUAUAUACGUAUAGCAUAUCAAUAAGCGGAGGAAAAGAAACUAACAAGGAUUCCCUUAGUAACGGCGAGUGAAGCGGGAAGAGCUCAAAUUUGAAAUCUUCAAGGUUCUACCUUGACGAAUUGUAGUUUAUAGAAGUGUUUUCUGUUAGUGGAGUGGCAAAGGUUCUUUGGAAUAGGACAUCAUAGAGGGUGAGAAUCCCGUAUUUGGUCAUUCCUCCUAGCGUUGUGAUACACUUUCAACGAGUCGGAUUGUUUGGGAAUGCAGUCCAAAAUGGGUGGUAAAUUUCAUCUAAAGCUAAAUAUUGGCGAGAGACCGAUAGCGAACAAGUACCGUCGAGGGAAAGAUGAAAAGAACUUUGAAAAGGGAGUUAAACAGUACGUGAAAUUGUCAAAAGGGAAGCGUUUGACGCCAGUGUUGUUUUUCCGAAAAUCAAUUACGAAUGUUUUGUUUUUGAGGAGUUAUGACUUCAUCGGCUUGCUCCUUUCUUUAUGAAACUUUCUUAAUGCACUUUUCGGUUAACAAGUCAACAUCAAUUUCUUUUGUUGUAAAAGGGUAUGAGGAAGGUGGCUUUCUUUUCGGAGAAAGUGUUUAUAGCCUUGUGCCUCUGCAAUCGGAGAGAUUGAGGUCUGCAGCGUAGAUCCUUCGGGGUUAGAUACGUUUGUGCUAAGUUAUAGCUUUUCAUAGACAACUUGUUGACUAUGUUUAGUCUUGUAGCUUACUCGCUUACGCUAUUUUACCUACGCUUAGGAUGUUGACGAGACUGUCGAUCUC
This 775-nucleotide ribosomal RNA is filed under the name uncultured Neocallimastigales. RNAcentral's name for it is "partial large subunit ribosomal RNA". It matches the Rfam family "Eukaryotic large subunit ribosomal RNA", at positions 26 to 644 of the family's 3401-position model. Lineage: Eukaryota; Fungi; Neocallimastigomycota; Neocallimastigomycetes; Neocallimastigales. The record is from RNAcentral.